Mastomys coucha (southern multimammate mouse) is the source of this 108-nucleotide small nuclear RNA. The record is from RefSeq and is a predicted model, not a curated record. NCBI's taxonomy places the organism in Eukaryota, Metazoa, Chordata, Mammalia, Rodentia, Muridae.
AUGAUUACUUUUGGCAACACAUAUGCUAAAAUUGAAAUGAUACGGAGAAAAUUAGCAUAGCCCCUGUGGUAGGAUGACGUGCAAAUUCAUGAAGCAUUCCAUACUUAA